This 222-nucleotide ribosomal RNA is filed under the name uncultured bacterium. RNAcentral describes it as "partial 16S ribosomal RNA". It matches the Rfam family "Bacterial small subunit ribosomal RNA", at positions 109 to 334 of the family's 1533-position model. The record is from RNAcentral.
AGUAAUGCUUGGGAAUCUAGCUUGUGGAGGGGGAUAACUACGGGAAACUGUAGCUAAUACCACGUAGUAUCGAGAGAUGAAAGUGUGGGACCUUCGGGCCACAUGCCAUAGGAUGAGCCCAAGUGGGAUUAGGUAGUUGGUGAGGUAAAGGCUCACCAAGCCGACGAUCUCUAGCUGGUCUGAGAGGAUGACCAGCCACACUGGGACUGAGACACGGCCCAG